RNAcentral lists this long non-coding RNA (18282 nucleotides) under Salvia miltiorrhiza (redroot sage). RNAcentral's name for it is "long non-coding RNA (SMIL_LNC011880)". Lineage: Eukaryota; Viridiplantae; Streptophyta; Magnoliopsida; Lamiales; Lamiaceae. The record is from RNAcentral.
ACUUCCUUCACAAACCAAGAUUCCAUUUGCUAAUUUGCAAGUUUUAGAUAUAUCUCGGAAUAGAUUAGUGGGAUCUCUACCUCAAAGAUAUUUCAAGAAUUUUAAAGCAAUGAUAGAGGAAAAUGAGACAAUCACAUCAAAUGAAUUUGAAAAUUAUGUGGAGAUGAGGCUCACCUUGAAAGGUUUGGAUCAAUUAUUACAGAGAUUGUUGUCAGCCUUUACAACAAUUGACUUAUCCUCCAAUAGGUUUUCUGGGAGUAUUCCACAUUCCAUAGGAAAUCUUAAGAUUCUCAAAUACUUAAAUUUGUCCCACAAUAACCUCAUCGGAAAUAUACCUCCAUCUCUUGGAAAUAUGAAUGAACUUGAGUCCUUGGACUUGUCAGUGAACAAGUUGAAUGGAGAAAUUCCAAGUGAAUUGACAAGGUUGACAUUUCUUGCGAAAUUAAACCUUUCAAUGAAUAAUCUUGUGGGGCGAAUACCACAGUCUAAGCAGUUUUCCACAUUUGAGAAUGAUUCAUAUGUGGGAAACUUGGAACUGUGUGGAGUUCCGUUCACGAGAAAAUGCAACAAGGAGAAGGGACAACGGCCAGAAGAAGAAGAAGAUGAUGAUGAUGAUGAUGAGUCUGGAUUUAUAGAUGGAUUUGGUUGGAGAAGUGUGGUGAUGGGAUAUGGAAGUGGAUUCAUAGUGGGAAUUGGAAUUGGUUACAUUAUUAUUAGAAAUGGAAGGCCCAGAUGGUUAGCUGAAUUCUUUUUUGGCGUUGGAUAUAAUUAUAAGAUGAAGAAGAGAUGCAGCAAUGCUACACCAACACGCCGCAGGAGAACUUAAUUGAAGCCCAAAAGAAUUCAUUUGUUCUUCAGUUGGUGUGUUUUGGUCGAUUUGAACUUUGGAGUUUAUGAAAUAUUGUUGUAUGUUCGAAUUUGCGAAGUUUUAAUUUUAUCUUGUUUCGAUAUAUUUUUUAGAUUAAAUCAGUUUUGUGAUUUUAUUUGGUAAAUUUUUAGAUUUGUUAAAAAUGACUUAGUUUUAGUGACAUAGAACACUUGAUUGUCCACGCUAAUAAUUUUUUUAGAUCAUUCUGUUUGAGCAGAUUUUUGCACGCCUACGAACUGUUUGAUAAAAGUCCGAAAUGAAUUCUCGGAGUUGUUCAGGUUAACGCAUAAUUCGCUCACCAAAGCUAACGCAUACUUUUAACAAUUUAAAUAGAUAUUUAUUGGGAAAAUUCUUAAAUCAAAUGAUAGUAUUUAGUUAAAUAAAUAUAUAUUUACAAUUUCUUAAUUUCCUAUAACAUGCCCAACAUAUUCUACCCGAGUUGACGCUACAUUAAAUGUAAACACUUUUAGGAGCUUAUAAGCUCUUGAUGAUGUUUGACAAAAUGAGCUAUUACACAACUUAUAAGGUAACCAAGAGUAUGGUAUUCCGUGUGCGUGUGUUGCCAAGCAGUAAGAGCUUAAUGCCUAAGGCCAAAAGUCUUGGAUUCGAGUCCCUUGUGGCGCGACCUUUUAAAUUUCUUUAUUUAUAAAAAAUAAGAUUUAAGUUAUUGCACCUAAAUAAUUUUUUGAUAAAUUCAAAAAGAACUUCUUAUUUUUUAAAUCUUAUAAGCAACAUUUAUUUUAUAAAAGUUACCCUACUAUUAUUUUUUAUUUCUAUCAUAUACUCUUUCAAUUUUAUAUCCCUAACUUUGUCGAUAUUAAACUCAUCAUUUUCUGCAUCAAAAAUCACCAAAUUAUAUAUUAAAUUACAUUAAAGCACAAAAUAAUCUAAGAAUAUGAGCAACUCAAAUACACACUUUAAGUUUCAAAUUAUCUUACCCAGGAUGCCAUAUCGUAUCUCAACUUCCUCCUCUUUCUCAUAAAACAACUUUGUUUUGACUAUUCCGCCACUUACUUCUUAUUUUAUACAAGUAAACAACUUUGUUUUCUUUUAAGGGGUGCCUUUACUUUGGUGUUAAAAUUUUCAUUGGAAAAUGAUGGAUAAGAAAAGAUGAGAAAAUAUUAUUUUUUCUUCUUUUUUUAUGUUAUGUUUAUUAGAGAUGAAAAGAUGAGAGAGUAUUGGAGAGAAAAAAAUGUGAAAAUGAGCUGCCCAAGAAAAUAUUUGAUUCUGCCCGGAGAAAAUUUUACAUUAUAGUAAAUAUAUGAAAACGGUGAAAAAUAUGUGAAAAUAUAUUUUUUUUCUCUCAUUUUCCAUCAAAGUAAACGCACCCUAACAGGUAACUGUGAUUCACGUUAUAGUAGACAAACUCAUUUAAAUAUCUCGCACAUGGAACUAGAAAUCAAAAAUCAUUCUUGCAUAAUUGAGUUUGGGUCAAUGUUCACAACUUGACUUGUGCCUACACAAAUUGGCAGCAUCAUGUGUGACACACAUUUUGUCUUUUUCUUCAGCAAAGUCCAUUCAUUACUGAAGCUUCUUAAUUUCAUUUUUCAUUUGUGGGACCCAAAAAAUGCGGCUAUAUUUGUAGUAGUUUCAUUUUCACUCGCUUUUGCCUCCAAAACUCUUAUUUUCUUCUUAAUUCUUUGCCCCAUUCACACUCCAACUUAAUUAAUUAAAAAUUGAUUGGAGAAAUUCAUACAUUUUUGCCGUAGGACUUGGGAAAGAUUAUUUUUAGAUUUCAAUAUAAACAGCACAACUACAAUAUUAGCACUCUGCAUUCACAAUAUGAAGAGAGUUUCCACAUUUUUCCUACUUUCCCUACUCAUGGGGUUUUCUUGCCUUAGCCUUGCUAACACAGAUCAAAUCAAAAGUGAUGAAUCAUCACUUCUUGCCUUCAAAUCCCGCAUCACUUCAGAUCCUUCCAAUAUUUUUAAAAAUAAUUGGACCACCGGAACCUCUAUCUGCACGUGGAUGGGAGUUACUUGCGAUUCACGUUAUAGUAGGGUGACUGCUUUAGAUCUCUCGAAUAUGAGACUCGAAGGCAGCAUCCCACCAGAAAUCAUAAAUCUUUCUUUUCUUGUUUCUCUAGAUUUGAGUGUGAACUCUUUUCAUGGUCCCCUACCAAAGGAUAUUUGCAGGCACAACAACCUUCGAAGACUCAAAGAACUUUACUUGUACUCCAACAAAUUGAAGGGGGAGAUACCAUUGAGCUUGGGUGAAUGUCCACAACUUGAGAUUAUUGACUUGUCAGACAACAACUUUGGUGGACAUGUGCCUGCACAAAUUGGGAACAUCACACAGCUUAAGGAAUUACGCCUUAGUUGGAACAAUUUGACAGGUAUGGUCUUAUCUCAAUAAUGAGAAUUUAACUCGUUCGAGUUUUAAAAAAAAUUAGGCCACUAUUUUAGGGUGUGGUUUGAAAAAAUAGGCCAAUUUUUUCGAACUUGCAAAAAUAGGUCAAUUAUUUUAAAUUUUGACGUCCGUAAGCCACAUUUGAUUCUAAUCGGGCUAUUUAGGGCCAAAUAUGGCCUAUUGAUGCCGAAUUGGGGCAAAUGUGGCCAAAGAUGCUAAAAUUUAAAGUAAUUGACCUAUUUUUGCAAGUUCAAAAAAUAUUGACCUAUUUUUUUGCAAAUCGUUAUAAGAUAGUGACUGCAAAAAAUUUUAAACUCAACUGGUUUGAUCCCACUUUUCCGUUUCUAUUGGGAUUUCAUGAAAUGACUUGAUGAUAUAUGCCAUUCAGUUUCGUAUCUGACUUUACUCAAGACGUUCUAAAGUUCCAACUUUUCAAAGAAUUUUCAAAAAAUUAAUUAAGAGAAACUCCCAAGACAUUUUAGUUUACUCAGAAAAUUUGAAAACCACAUUUCCCCAACUUUUACUUGGUGAAAACAUGACUAAACAAUAAGGCUAAAAACAAGGAUUUUUACUUAUAGUUUGUCCAGAUACAUUCAAAGUGAAGUUUCUUAGCUUCGAUCUACGUACUUAAAUCUUAACCAAAUUUCAAUCAACUUCAUUCCAUACAUUCAUAAACAUAAUAGAUACAAGAUUUCAACAACUUCCUUCAAAAAUUAUGAAAUCAAGAUGCACAAAUCUUGCAAUUCUUACAUCUUCACACAUGUUUCUCAUAUCAUAUUGAAACUCAUACUUUCAUCUCCCAACCAAUCGAACCACGUAUUUCACUUAAUAUUGUUAUGAUGGUUAUACUUAACAAUAUGGAACUUGACUUUGAUGACUUCAUUAUUCUCCAGGUACUAUUCCGAAAGAGAUUGGAAAUCUUCAUAGUUUACAGAUCAUGCGUUGGGUUCCAACAAACUUAGCGGAUCAAUCCCGAGAGAAGUGUGGAACAUGACAGCUCUUAGCAGCUUACUGCUCGACAAUAAUAGUUUAAGUGGUAUGAUUUAUUGUUUCCCUAGCACAAGUUAGUUCCUCAAGCUAGCUCGUGAGUUAAUUUCUUUUUGUUGAUGUAUUUGGAUAUUUGUAGGAGUCAUUCCACAAGAGAUUCACCAUCUUCAUAAUUUACAAUGGUUGGCCUUGAGCUUGAACAAGUUGUCGGGCACUUUGCCAUCAUCAAUUUUCACAUGUCUUCCUUGACAGUGAUUCGCUUAUCAAGAACAUGUUUAGCGGGGCAUUGCCUUCAGAAAUUGGAAACAACAAGACAACAGCACUACAUGUUUUACACCUUAAAAACAAUACUUUAAGUGGUAAGAUUUCUAUCUCUUGGAGAUAUAGCAUUUACAGCUAUUGUGAGACCUUUAAGUUCUCAAAUCUAUAUUUGACUUUUCCAUAUAGCUGGUACGAGUCAUAUAUUGUGUUGUUAAUUUAUAUUAUGCAUAAUUUCUUCUCUUUUCAGGGCUAUUACCAUCUACUAUUGGAAACCUAUCAAGUUUGUACUACUUAAAUCUUGGUUCCAACAAGUUUAAUGGUGAGCAUUCAUCCUCCAUCUGCAACUUGACAUAUAUAGAGUAAAAUAGUCGAUUUUAGUAAGAUAUUGCUCUGUGCAUUUAUAUCUACUUAUCUAUUAUAUGAAUAUUUAUUUUUAUUCCAACACAGUUACAUAAACAUAUCAAAUAAAAUUAGUGGCAUGUCAUCAUCAUACUUAAUAAUUACAUAUAGCUCAAUCUCCUAACUAAAUCAUGCAUUUUACUUAGUAAUGUUAUUUUACUUAGUAAUUUAUUAUUCGGACACAAGUUUAGUAGUAACAUGUUGACUUGUAGUUGGUAGCUAGGAGUCAUACAUUGUGUUGUUAUUUUAUGUCAUGCAUAUUUUAUCCUCCUUUCAGGUCCAAUACCAUCUACCAUUGGAAACCUAUCAAAUUUGUACUACUUGAAUCUUGGUUCUAACAAAUUUCAUGGUGAGCUUUCAUCUUCCAUCUGCAGCAUGACAUUCCUUGAAAUACUUUUACUCUCUAGUAUAUAAUAGUUUUGAAGAAUCAAUUGCACAAGGUUUUCGAAACUUUAGCAAACUUUGAAUUUCAUUUAAACAAACCAGUUUAGUUGCCUCAUUCCAUCAACAUUUACCUAAAGAAUUUUAUGUGGUAAUAAAUUGCAAGGACCAUUACCUAAAUCCUUGAUCAAUUGCAAAAGUCUACAAGCAAUUUUAUUGGAUAGAUAUAUUUAUUUAUAAGCCCUAUCAAAUAGCUAUAAAUAUAUAUCAAAUAGAUUUAGUGUAAUAUUUAAUGAAUUAAUAUAUUUUUAUAAAUAUAUAAUAUUUUAUUUAUAAAAUUACCCUUAAAAUAAAAUAUGUAAUAAGAAUAUAAUAUGCAAUCUAUAUUUUAUGCCCAAAACACUUUUUAUAUUAGUAUAGAUAAAGAAAUUUGAUUUUUAUCCUUUUAUGUCUUUCAAAUAGUAUGUUUGUUACCAACUUUCAGGUCAAUUACCAUCUACCAUUGUGAAUAUUCUACCAUUGAAUUUUCUGCAACUCUCUUCCAACAAAUUAAUCGGAGAGAUUCCACUCUCCCUCUGUAACAUGACAUCCCUUCGGUAUCUUCUUCUCUCAACAAACAAUUUGGAAGGAAUAAUUCCACAAUGCUUUGGAAACUUCAGCUAUUUGGCCAUCUUUCAUUUAAAUGAAAAUAAGUUUAGUGGUCUCCUUCCAUCAACAUUUAGCGAGAGGUGUAGUCUUGUUUCCAUCAAUUUGAAUGGUAAUAAAUUGCAAGGACGAUUACCUAAAUCCUUGAUCAAUUGCGAAAGCCUACAAGCACUCGACAUCGGAAAUAAUAGAAUACAAGAUGAAUUUCCUCUCUGGAUGGAUGUCCUUCCAGACCUUCGAGUGUUGGUCUUGAAGUCUAACAAGUUUUAUGGGAACAUAUCACUUCCUUCACAAACCAAGAUUUCAUUUCCUAAUUUGCUAAGUUUUAGAUAUAUCUCGGAAUAGAUUCGUGGGUUCUUUGCCUCAAAUAUAUUUCAAGAAUUUCAGAGCAAUGAAAGAGGAAAAUGAGAAAAUCACAUCAAAUGAGAUUGAAAAUUAUGUGGAGAUGAGGCUCACCUUGAAAGGUCUGGAUCAAUUAUUACGGAGAUUGUUGUCGGACUUUACAACAAUUGACUUAUCCUCCAAUAGGUUUUCUGGGAGUAUUCCAAAUUCCAUAGGAAAUCUUAAAUUUCUCAAAUACUUGAAUUUGUCCCACAAUAACCUCAUAGGAAAUAUACCUUCGUCACUUGGAAAUAUGAAUGAACUUGAAUCCUUGGACUUGUCAGUGAACAAGUUGAAUGGAGAAAUCCCAAGUGAAUUGACUAGGUUGACAUUUCUUUCAACAUUAAACCUUUCAAUGAAUAAUCUUGUUGGACAAAUACCACAAUCUACUCAGUUUUCCACAUUUGAGAAUGAUUCAUAUAUGGGAAACGGGGGAUUGUGUGGACUUCCAUUGACCAAACAAUGCAAUGAGGAGAAUGGGCAGCAGAUGCAGCUAGAAGAAGAUGAUGAUGAUGAAGAUGAUAAGUAUGGAUUUAUAGAUGGGUUUGGAUGGAGAAGUGUGGUGAUGGGAUAUGGAAGUGGAUUCAUAGUUGGGAUUGGAAUUGGUUACAUUAUUAUUAGAAAUGGAAGGCCAAGAUGGUUAGUGGAAUUCUUUUUUGGAGUUGGAUAUAAUUAUAAGAUGGAGCUGAGACGUAGCAGAGCUACACCAACACCAACAACACGCGGGAGAACUUAAUUGAAGCCCAAAUCAAUUGUGUGCUUUACUUGUGCCGAUUUGUGUUUUCUUUUAUCUUUUUUACGUUUUGAAUUGCUACUUAGUGUGUUUUUCUCGAUUUCAACUUUAGAGUUUAUGAAAUGUUGUUGUAUAUUCGAAUGUGUUAAGUUUUAGUUUCAUCUCGUUCUCAUUUUGAUCUAGUUGACAACUAGAUCAUUGUGUUGGAACUCUCUUUUAACAUAAAACCGGUGUCUUUUAAGUGAUGUGUAUAAGAGAUUUUGCUGUAGCGGUAAAAGAAGUUUAAUCGGGUUUUUGGAGAGCUUCUAUUCAGGUAUAAAAUAAUACUUCAUCCGUCCACAAAAAAUAAUCAUAGAAGGAGAUGACACGGGUUUUAAUAAAAAUAGUUGAGUGUAUUAAUUGUAAAUGGAGAAAAGGUCCUACUUCAUUACCUUAAAUUUUCACAUUUUUUUGCCACUCUCAAUAUUUUCAAUAAUUUUUUCUCCACUCUCAAUAUAUUCAACAACUUUAUUUCUCCACUCUCUAUAGAAUCUAACUACUUAACUAGAUAAAUAAAAAUAAUAAUAACAAUGACUCACUAACAUAAAAUAAACAAGGUACAUAUCACGUAAACUUUAAGUUCUAUAUAUAUGUUAUCAUACUAUAGUUAUAAUAAACCUUAUACAAAUAAAUAAUUUUGGGACCUAAGAAUUUUAUCGAUGAUCAAUCGUAAUUUAUUAAUGUAUCGAUAAAUUAACAACUUUUUAGUUUAUAAAGUAUUUUCUUGAUUUCAGAAAUUAUGAUUAAAUCAAGUUAUAAUGAGUAAAAAUAAAGAGAGACAAUAUUUAAAUUAAAUAAAUAGAUGUAUCUAUCAAGUUAUUGUGGUUGAUAUUACGGGAGAUCAUAAUGAUGAUCAAGCUGAAGAUGAUUCAACCACAAAUUCAAAUUGUAUAAAGAUAAAAUAGUAUUCAUAAUUGUAAUAUUUUAAUAAUAUUAAUGGGGCCUAUAUAUGCAAUAAUAUUGUGCAUCGGGCCGGAAUCCAGUCAUCGAGACAUUAAUCAAUAAGAAAAUUUUGACUUUAGGACGCAAAACAUUAAAAGGAUCAUAGGUUUGGGUGAUAAGUAAUAUUUUCCAUAUAUGUUUAAAUCUACCAUUAAACUAACUUUUUGUGAAGUUUUGGAUAUUUGUAGGAAUUAUUCCACAAGAGAUACAUCAUCUUGAUAAUUUAGGAGCUAGUGUUGGACUUGAGUUUGAACAAGUUGUCAGGCACUUUGCCACCAACCAUUUUCAACAUGUCUUCCUUGAUUGAUAUGGAUUGACUUAUCAAGUAACACACUUAGCGGGGCAUUGCCUUCGGAAAUUGGGAACAUGAAAGUAGCACUAGCGUUUUUAAACCUUCAAAACAAUGCUUUCACUCUUAUAGAGUUUUACACAUAUUCAAAUGUUUCUUAAUUUUUAUGUAUAUAUUGGAUUUACAGCCAUUGUGAGACCUAUGUACUUCUUCUCAAACCUAUAUUUGACUUUUCCAUAUAGCAUUUACAACUAUGUUCUUCUCAAAUCUAUAUUGUUCUUUGACUUUCAUUGAUUACUGGAAUAAAUAUCAUUAUACUUAAAAUAGUAUACAGCUCAAUCUCCCAACCAAUCGAAUCACGUAUUUUACUUAUUAUUCUAAUGAUCGUUAUACUAAACAAUAUGAAACUUGACUGAUGACUUCAUUAUUCUCCAGGUACUAUUCCGAGUGAAAUUGGGAACAUGGAAGCACUACAAUUUUUAUACCUUGGAAACAAUGGUUUAACCGGUAAGAUUUCUUAUUGUUGUAGGGUUUUAAACCUAUUCAACAUGUUUAUUUCCAAUUGGAACCAUUUUCAGCACGCUUGUCUCCUUAUCCAAAAAGCAUAUAUAAUUACGGAGCUCGGUGAACUUUUUUGUACGAUUUAUUGUUCUUUGUCUUCCAUUGAUUAGUGGAAUAUACUCCCUCCGUCCACCAAUUGAUAUCCUAUUUUCCUUUUUGGUCCGUGCACUAAUUUAUGUUCUACCCAUUUAUAGUAACUCUUUAUAAUUUUUUAAUUGGUGGGUUCCAAUAAACAAUACAAUUUUUCUCCACUCAACUAAUAAACAAUACACUUUGUGGGUCCCUUUGUCCACGCAACUAAUAAAUAAUAUAUUUUGUGGGUCCCUUUCUCCACUCACUACACUUUUUCUUAAAACCCGUAUUUCCUCCCCUACGUCAUAAAUUAGUGGACGGAGAGAAUAUAUCAUUAUACUUAAUACUAUACAGCUCAAUCUCCCAACCCAUUACUAGUUGUGUUUUUCACAAAAUGUCUAGUUUAAAUAACAGACAAAUGUUGGUAAAAUGCUUUGUGCAUUUUUAGAUAUAAAGAAAUUUGAUUCAUAUCCUUCUCUAUCUUUCAAAUAAUAUAUUUGAAGGUCUUGUACUAACUUUCAGGUCAAAUACCAUCAACCAUUGGGAAUAUUCUACCAUUGAUUGUUCUACAACUCUAUUCCAACAAAUUAAUCGGUGAGCUUUCAUCCUCCAUCUAUAACUUGACAUCUCUUGAUGCUCUUGUUCUCUCAAAUAUCACCUUGGAAGGAACAAUUCCACGAUGCUUUGGAAACUUGAACUCUUUGACCAUCUUUCAUUUAAAUGAAAAUCAGUUUAGUGGUCUCAUUCCAUCAACAUUUAGAGAGGUGUGUAAUUUUGUGUCCAUCAAUUUGAAUGGUAAUAAAUUGCAAGGAACAUUACCUAAAUCCCUGAUCAAUUGCGGAAGUCUACGAAGCCUCGACGUUGGAAAUAAUAGAAUACAAGAUGAAUUUCCCUUCUGGAUGGAAGUCCUUCCACAGCUUGAAGUGUUGGUCUUGAGGUCUAACAAGUUUUACGGUAACAUGUCACUUCGGGCUAAUUGCCGCUAAAUCCAUGUACUUUUUCAAUUUUUGAUUUUUUCUCAUGGCAAAAAAAAAUCUACUUUAAAAUCCAUGAAUUGCAAAAUUGAUUGGAAAUUUCCCCCGCAUCCGAUUUCCGGCCAUCAGCGAAAUGAGUCAGAUCCUAUGUGGCGAAAUUCAUUCCGGGUGUUAAGUUUAAUGAAUGACAUGGACGCCACAUAAGAUUUUAAAAACUGAAAAAAAUUAUAGGAAAUCUUAAGAUUCUCAAAUACUUGAAUUUAUCCCAGAAUAACCUCAUUGGAAAUAUACCUUCAUCUCUUGCAAAUAUGAGUGAACUAGAAUCUUUGGACUUGUCAGUGAACAAGUUGGAUGGAGAAAUUCCAAGUGAAUUGACAGGGUUGACAUUUCUUGCGAAAUUAAACCUUUCAACGAAUAAUCUUGUGGGGCAAAUACCACAAGCCCAAAAGAAUUGUUAAACUGGGGCCUUCUGGCUCCGCCAUUGGUUACAACAAUACAACAGACUUCGUUGUCAACUUCGUUUUUGGCUUUAUAAGAUACUAGCUAGUAACCUGUUGAAAUUUGAUGGAGUAUUAUUUUUUUUGUAAUGAAUUUAUCUUUACAUAACUUUUGAAAUUAAUUUAAUUUAAUGUAAUAGAGUUCAAAUUAUAUUAAUCUCAACCACCUAUAUAAAUCAAAUCUUAAUAUUUUGUUGGGAGAAUAGAAAUGUUAUUUUAUACUAUAAGUUUUUAUUUGAUUAAGUUUUGUAAAAGGUCGAUGUGGAAUUGAAAAUUUUAGAAAAAUGAGAAGAAAAAAGUGUGUAAAUUAGAUGGAUGAUAUGACAGAGGGAUUGGUUGUGCCACAUUGGUUGUUAAUUGUAUAUAGACAACUUAUGUGUGUAUUUUAGUUGUUCAAUAUUCUUGAAUUUUUUGGCUUUAAUGAAAUUUAAUAUACACAAUUAGGUUAGGUUGUUUUUUUUUUUUUGUACAGGAAUUGAAGAGAUCAAUGUCAACUGAAUCGAAUGAAUGAUGAAGAGCUAAUGUUGGGCUACAAAGCCUACAAUGUUGAUUAGUCUUACUUCCUUGUUCGUUUGGGAUUCUAGUGACAUUAUAGAGAUAAGCUUUUACUUUUUAUGCAUAAGAGGAAUAGUUUCUGCAUCUGACAUGGUUAUUCGUUUGGGAUUCUAGUGACAUUAUUCUGGUUUGUAUCUUCAAUUUAGUAGAUUGUUAGUUAUGCUUUCUUUGUUCAAUUUAAUUAUGUUUUAUUUCGAUAGCAUGAGUAGCAAAUUUAUUAAUUCAGUGAGUAUAAUGAAACACUAGUCUAAAAUCUGUGACCUAAUUGUUUUAUUGAUUGAUACAAUUGGAUGAAUUAUUUACAUCUCAAUCAGAAGAAGCUUUUAGUUUAAGCAGGGAUAUUCGUGCUUAUAAUAGAAUAUUGUCAUUUACUUCGUUCAGUGUAAAAUUGGAUAAAGAACUCGCAUCUGUAAGACGAAGAGUUUAUUCUUUACAAGCACAAGGAAUGGUUUAUCAUGAUCUUCCUGAAUUGAUCCACAAUAUACAUGUAUUUUCAAUAAUACUUUUACGACACACAAAGUGAGGUUGAGGACCGAAUUAACAUAAGAUGCACGUAGAAAUUUUAGAGUUCAACAUGUAUGAAAAAUUCUUACAAAUUAAUUUAUGUAAGAAUUUACUGGUGUUUUUGAUAAAAUUAUUUGAAUUUGAAUAAAUUUCCUCGUUACCAAGAGCUUAUUAUUAUUAUUAUUAUUAUUAUUAUUAUUAUUAUUAUUAUUAUUCAAAAUAACUCGAAUUCAAAUUGCAACAAUUGCUCUAUUUUAAGGGGGCAGUUGCGUAGAGCUUGGUUUUAGAUUGCAAAGUGUGAAUUACCCUUUAUUAUAUCUUAUUCAAAGACACAAAAAGGGGGAUUUAAAGUCUCCCAAAUCUAUUAUAAAAAUAGAGAAUAUAUUCUACUUUUGCAUGUUAUUCUACCACUUCAAAUAAACAAACAGGUUUUGUUGUUUAUUCAACUGACGUAGCCCUCUGAUCACGGCCAAAACUUAUAAUGCUAUUUUAAUAUGAAUAUUAGGGUCAUUUUUUAAGAUUUGGGUUAGACUCAAUCUCCCAAAUCGAACAGAAAGUAGCUUUCCAUAUAAAUAGUCUUAGUUGCUUUUGCCUCCAAAAAUCACUCUUUAUAGUUCCACAAUUAUUUUCUUCGUCUUUCCAAUGGGAAAAAUAUUAUUUUAGCUUUGAAUAAAAGGAAACUCUGCAUUUCCUACUUUCAUCANAACAGGCUCGAGCUCGAUUCGUUUAAAUAUUCAGGUGUCUGAACGUGAUUCGAACUUUUAUCUUGUUAAUCGAGUUUAGCUCGUUACUCACUUACCGAGCUCAAGCUCAGUUCGAAUUCAGCUCAUGUGAUACUCAAUAAUAUCGAAUUCGAGCUUAAGCUCGAGCUCGAACUCGAUGUGUUUAAAGUUUGUGUACUAACUCAAUUGAAGGUUCGUGAAUAAACUCGCAAAUAUAUUCGUGAUUAAUCGCAUUUGAAUAUGUUCGCAAGCUAAACGAGCCGAGUGCUGCCAAGUUUGAGCUCGGUUCAAAAAAAUUAUCGAGCUCAAAAUCAAGCUCAAACUUGUUUACUAUCAAACCGAUCAAGUUUGGGAUCAUAUUCAGCAAUGGCUCAACAUCAAAACGGCAAAGCCACAAGGUCUCUUUCAACAUUUUUUGUCUUUUACUUAUGGUGGCAAAGGUAAGAAAAUCAGAAAAUUUUUGAAAGCUUUAUUGGUUGGAACAAUUUGGCUGCUGUGGAGUUAUAGAAAUGAAAGUAGGUUUGAAGGAAAGGAGUGGGAUCCACAAAAACUUGUGUUGGAGGUUAAAGGUAGACUUUGGAGCUGGAACAAGACUUUCCAAAUGGUGGAAGUGAAUGUUCCGUUUUCUUUGUGGUGCUCCCAAGAGUACACACUCCCCUUUUUGUAACUGUUUUGGUACUACUGAUACCGAGUUUUUCAAUAUAUUGCACUUUUAUUGAUAAAAAAAAAAAAGUUGAGUCUCGAAUAGAUCGCGGGUAGCUCUAUUUAUUUAUAAUCCUAACCGUUGGUGUUAAUGUUUGACGGUGAUACAUAUAUGCACGAAAGGACCAAGAAAAUAUUGGCCGGCGACUGACUUAUCUCACUCCCCACCUAAUUCGGCUUCCACGCGGCCUUCAAUCAACUCAAAUUACUACUUAGUAGUGCCACCCACCUUUCCCUUGACCUUCUCACGCAAAUCUAUACUAAUAGAAAAAGAGCCUAAGCAUUUUAUGGGACAACUUGUGGAUUGCCUAUUUUACCCCUAUUAUUUAUUUUGUAUUAUAUAUUUAUAAAAUCAAUCUAUUUGAUAUAUAUUUAUUUGUCACCCAAAUCUAUAAAUAAUAUUUUAUAUUAUAAAACCAAACAUAUACAUAAAAUCGUUGUCAAAUUAAUUAGAUAAAAAAUUUCUUCUCUACUUAGGUCCAAUAUUGAUGUUUCCCUCAUCUAAUCUAAUUAUAAUUUCUAAAUAAAUCCCUAAUAUAAUUGGUAUUUACAUCACAAUUCUUUUUUCCCUAAAAGAAGUUCAUCAAUUAAACCAACGAUCAAGGGGAUUCCAAUAUCUUAUCGCAUUAGAAUUCUAUUUAAUUUAUUACAUAUUUUAUUUUAAGGUUUUUUACAGAUUAUAUAUUUAUAAGAAUAUAUUAUUAUUAAUAUACACUAAAUCUAUGUGUAUAUAUCUAUAGCUAUUGAUAAGGCUUAUAAAUAAAUAUAUUCAAUCCAAUAAAAUUUAUUAAUGAAAGUAAUAAAUUAAUAAUUUUCUAAAAUAAUAGAUUAUUAAAUAAAAUAACAUUAAUUACACGUACAACGUACGUUCUUUCUGCUAGUUACUCAAAAUGACUCGAAUAUUCAAAUUGCAACAAUUGCUCUAUUUUCAGGGGGCAAUUGCGUAGAGCUUGGUUUUAGAUUGCGAAGUGUGAAUUACCCUUUAUUAUAUCUUAUUCAAAGAUCACAAAAAGGGGGAUUUAAAGUCUCCCAAAUCUAUUAUAAAAAUAGAGAAUAUCUUCUACUUUUGCAUGUUAUUCUACCACUUCAAAUAAACAAACAGGUUUUGUUGUUUAUUCAACUGACGUAGCCCUCUGAUCACGGCCAAAACUUAUAAUGCUAUUUUAAUAUGAAUAUUAGGGUCAUUUUUUAAGAUUUGAGUUAGACUCAAUAUCCCAAAUCGAACAGAAAGUAGCUUUCCAUAUAAAUAGUCUUAGUUGCUUUUGCCUCCAAAAAUCACUCUUUAUAGUUCCACAAUUAUUUUCUUCGUCUUUUCCUCAUUCACACUCCAAUUAAUUAUUUUCUCCGGCUUCGUCGCUCCAAUGGGAAAAUAUUAUUUUAGCUUUGAAUAAAAGGAAACUCUGCAUUUCCUACUUCAUCAUUAAUCCUUCCCAUUUGCCCAUCAUAUCCACACACACUCUAUAUAUACAUGUAUAUGGAUUUCAUAGUUCAAUAUUCUAAAAAAUUACUACUGUCAAAAUCAAGCCAAAAAAUGCCAAAAUCUCCCCAUUUUCUCAUCCUUGCACUACUCUUACCAAUCCAUUAUUUGAUGGAUUAUAGCUCAGCCAAAACCGAUAUCAACACCGAUCGUUCUUCACUUCUUGCCUUGAAAUCUCAAAUCACUUUAGAUCCUCAAAAUAUAUUGACCCAAAAUUGGAGCACUGAAGCCAGUGUUUGUAGUUGGAUAGGAGUUACUUGUGAUUCACACUACAAUAGGGUGACUAACUUGAAUAUAUCGCACAUGGGUCUUGUCGGAACCCUCCCACCAGAAAUCGGGAAUCUUUCUUUCCUCGUCUCUUUAAAUGCGAGUCAUAACUCUUUUCAUGGCCCCAUUCCCCCAUCUAUCUUCAACAUGUCAUUUCUAGAAGUUUUGGAACUAAAGAAUAAUAGUUUGUCUAGUAGUUUACCUCUUGAUAUGUGCAUACACAAUCUGCAUAGACUCAAGAGGCUUCGUAUAUCUUACAACGUGUUGUAUGGGGAAAUACCAUCGAGUUUGGGGCAGUGUUCACAGCUUGAGUAUCUUUCUUUGUACAACAACAAUUUCACUGGAUUUGUGCCGAGAGAAAUUGGGAACUUGACCAAGCUUCAAGAGUUGUACCUUGGUGAAAAUAAGUUGACUGGUAAGUUCAUUCCUAUAUUUAUGAGGUCAAAUCAUGCAUUUAAUGCCAUAUUAUUUAAUUCUUUAAUUUAUGUGCUUUAUGUUUGAGUGUCAAAUUUAAAAUUUAUCUCAGCUUAAUUGUAUGUAUAAACUCAAUUUGGACCACUAAUCAUUAUACAAUAACGCAUACAAAGUUUUCGAACCUUUAGAAAAUCUUUGAUGAUCUUUCAUUUAAACACAAACCAGUUUAGUGGUAAUAAAUUGCAAGGACCAUCAACAUUUACCAAUGAUUGGACUCUUUUUCAGUCAAUUUAAGUGAUACUAGUAAAUUGCAAGGAGCAUUACCUAAAUCCUUGAUCAAUUGUCAAAGUCAUAUAAUUGUGUCUUUCACAAAUUUAUAAAUGACUUUUCCAUAUAACAUUCAUUAGGACUAGUAAUCUAAAAUACUUUGAAUUAAAUAUACUAUAUUUAUAAAGAAUUCAAUAUAUUCAUUUUAAAUGUUAAGUAGGAUGUGUUAGCGUGUAUUUACAUGACAUUGUUUUAUAUUUAAAGAUUCAUAGGUUAGGGUGAUAAGUAAUAUUUUCCAUAUAAGUUUCAAUCUAGAAUUAAACUAACUUUGUGUGAUGAUUUGAAUAUUUGUAGGAGUUAUUCCACAAGAGAUACAUCAUCUUCAUAAUUUAAGAGUGUUGGACUUGAGUUUGAACAAGUUGUCAGGCACUUUGCCACCAACCAUUUUCAACAUGUCUUCCUUGGUAUGGAUUGACUUAUCAAGUAACACACUUAGCGGGGCAUUGCCUUCAAUAAUUGGGAACAAGAAAGCAGUACUAGAGUUUUUAUACCUUGAAAACAAUGCUUUAACCGGUAAGAUUUCUAACUCUUGUAGGGUUUUACACAUAUUCAAAUGUUUCUUAAUUUUCAUGUAUAUUUAGCGUUUACAGCCAUUGUGAGACCUUUAACUUCUUCUCAAAUCUAUAUUUGACUUUUCCAUAUAGCAUUUACAGCUAUGUCCUUCUCAAAUCUAUAUUGUUCUUUGUCUUCCAUUGAUUAGUGGAAUAAAUAUCAUUGUACUUAAAUAGCUCAAAAUUUCCCAUCCGAUCAAAUCAUGUAUUUUUACCUAUUAUUGUUAUGAUCGUUAUACUUAACAAUAUGGAACUUGACUUUGAUGACUUCAUUAUUCUCCAGGUACUAUUCCGAAAGAGAUUGGAAAUCUUCAUAAUUUAUGGUUCAUGUGGUUGGGUUCCAACGAACUUAGCGGAUCAAUCCCGAGAGAAGUGGGGAACAUGACAGCUCUUUCUGACUUACGGCUCGACAAUAAUAGUUUAAGUGGUAUUAGAACUCUUUUAGCGAGUUAAUUUCUUUUUUUGGGGAUUCCCACAAACUUAGUGGAGCUUUAAUUGUACCCACAAAUUUGGAAUAUUAGAACUCUUUGUCGCUCACACCUUUUUAACAUUUAUUUAACUUUUCCGCCAGGUACUAUUCCUAAAGAGAUUGGAAAUCUUCGUAAUUUACACUACUUAAGUUUGUCUUGACUAUUUAUGGCUCCACAAUAAUACUUUAAGUGGUAUGAUUUAUUAUUUAGCUAGCCACAAGUUUAGGUAAAAGAUAAUAUUGUUUGUUAAAUUAAAUAGAUGCAAAGUAAAAGAUAUUUGAUAGGUUUUGGAGAGCUUUUAUUCAGGUAAUUAAAAGAUAGUAAUAGAUUGUUUUAUUACUUCGCAAAUUCAUUUCUAAAGAAAAUUAUUUUCACCUUUAAGAGUCUCGUUUCUUUUCCAACAUUCGACACAAAAGUAUUUUUCCUUUCUUAUUUUCACUUCAAUGAUGGAUAAUAUUAGAAGGAUAAUAUUAUCCAUCAUUGAAGUGAAAAUAAGAAAGGAAAAAUACUUUUGUGUCAAAUGUUAGAAAAGAAAUGAGACAUUUGAAAGCAUAAAUUUUUGUUUCUUUUCAAUUGGAACCAUCUUCAGCACUCGUCUCUUUAUCCUAAAAGAUGGAAGCACUAAAUCUUUUAUUCCUUGGAAACAAUGACUUUGACUCUAGGACGCAAACAUUAAAAGGUUCAUAAAUUAGGGUGAUAAGUAAUAUUUUCCCUAUACGUCUCAAUCUAGAAUUAGACUAACUCUUUGUGAUGAUUUGGAUAUUUGUAGGAGUUAUUCCACAAGAGAUACAUCAUCUUCAUAAUUUAACAGUGUUGGACUUGAGUUCGAACAAGUUGUCAGGCACUUUGCCACCAACCAUUUUCAACAUGUCUUCCUUGACAUGGAUUGACUUAUCAAGUAACACACUUAGCGGGGCAUUGCCUUCAGAAAUUGGGAACAAGAAAGCAGUACUAGAGUUUUUAUACCUUCAAAACAAUGCUUUAACCGGUAAGAUUUCUAACUCUUGUAGAGUUUUACACAUAUUCAAAUGUUUCUUAAUUUUCAUGUAUAUUUAGCAUUUACAGCCAUUGUGAGACCUUUAACUUCUUCUCAAAUCUAUAUUUGACUUUUCCAUAUAGCAUUUACAGCUAUGUUCUUCUCAAAUCUAUAUUGUUCUUUGUCUUCCAUUGAUUAGUGGAAUAAAUAUCAUUAUACUUAAAUAGUAUACAGCUCAAUCUCCCAACCGAUCGAAUCACGUAUUUUACUUAUUAUUCUCAAUUAUGAUUGUUAUACUUAACAAUAUGGAACUUGACUUUGAUCACUUCAUUAUUCUCCAGGUACUAUUCCAUCCUCCAUCUGUAACUUGACAUCUCUUGGAUUUCUUGUUCUCUCAAAUAACACCUUGGAAGGAACAAUUCCACAAUGCUUUGGAAAUUUGAGCAAAUCUUUGCUCAUUUUUCAUUUAAAUGUGAAUCAGUUUAGUGGUCUCAUUCCAUCAUCAUUUAGCAAGGGAUGUGGCCUUGUGUCCAUCAAUUUGAAUGGUAAUAAAUUGCAAGGACCAUUACCUAAAUCCUUGAUCAAUUGCCAAAGACUACGAGACCUCGACGUCGGAAAUAAUAGAAUACAAGACGAAUUUCCCUUUUGGAUGGAAGUCCUUCCAGACCUUCAAGUGCUGGUCUUGAGGGCUAACAAGUUUUAUGGUAACAUGUCACUUCCUUCGCAAACCAAGAUUCCAUUUCAUAAUUUGCAAGUUUUAGAUAUAUCUCAGAAUAGAUUUGUGGGCUCUCUGCCUCAAGGAUAUUUCAAGAAUUUCAGAGCAAUGAUAGAGGUAAAUGAAACAAACUUGUCAACUAACGACACCUUCUUUAAAGAUUAUGUGGAGAUGAGGCUCACCUUGAAAGGUCUGGAUCAAUUAUUACAGAGAUUGUUGUCAGC